UACGUAGGGCGCAAGCGUUGUCCGGAAUUAUUGGGCGUAAAGAGCUCGUAGGCGGCUUGUCACGUCGGGUGUGAAAGCCCGGGGCUUAACCCCGGGUCUGCAUCCGAUACGGGCAGGCUAGAGUGUGGUAGGGGAGAUCGGAAUUCCUGGUGUAGCGGUGAAAUGCGUAGAUAUCUGGAGGAACACCGGUGGCGAAGGCGGCAUCCUGGACCGGUAUUGACACUGAGGCGCGAAAGCCAGGGGAGCAAACGGG
RNAcentral lists this ribosomal RNA (253 nucleotides) under uncultured bacterium. RNAcentral describes it as "partial 16S ribosomal RNA". It matches the Rfam family "Bacterial small subunit ribosomal RNA", at positions 524 to 776 of the family's 1533-position model. The record is from RNAcentral.